ACGUAAGAUGCAAGCGUUAUCCGGAAUUACUGGGCGUAAAGGGUGCGCAGGCUGUUAAUUAAGUCGGGUGUGAAAUCCCACGGCUCAACCGUGGAACUGCGCCCGAAACUAAUUAGCUAGAGUCUGGGAGAGGAAGACGGAAUUCCUGGUGUAGGAGUGAAAUCUAUAGAUAUCAGGAAGAACACCGGUGGCGAAGGCGGUCUUCUGGCCUAAGACUGACGCUAAAGCACGAAAGUGUGGGGAGCAAACGG
This 251-nucleotide ribosomal RNA is filed under the name uncultured prokaryote. RNAcentral describes it as "partial 16S rRNA". It matches the Rfam family "Bacterial small subunit ribosomal RNA", at positions 525 to 775 of the family's 1533-position model. The record is from RNAcentral.